GACGAACGCUGGCGGCGUGCUUAACACAUGCAAGUCGAACGGAAAGGCCUGCUUUCCCUUGUGGAUUGCGGGUACUCGAGUGGCGAACGGGUGAGUAACACGUUAGUGAUCUGCCCCCAACUUGGGUAUAAGCCUGGGAAACUGGGUCUAAUUCCCGAUAGGACUGCAGGGUGGUGCCUGUGGUGGAAAACGAUUUUCUAGUGGUUGGGGAUGAGCUCGCGGCCUAUCAGCUUGUUGGUGGGGUAAUGGCCUACCAAGGCGGCGACGGGUAGCCGGCCUGAGAGGGGGGACGGCGACAUUGGGACUGGGAUACGGCCCAGACGCCUACGGGAGGCAGGAGAGGGGAAUAUAGGACAAUGGGCGGAAGCCUGAUGCAGCGACGCCGCGUGGGGGAUGACGGCCUUCGGGUGGUAAACUCCUUUCGACCGAGAGGAAGCCACCUGGUUGGAAGGGUGGUGACGGUAGUGGUAGAAGAAGCACCGGCUAACUACGUG
This 494-nucleotide ribosomal RNA is filed under the name uncultured bacterium. RNAcentral describes it as "partial 16S ribosomal RNA". It matches the Rfam family "Bacterial small subunit ribosomal RNA", at positions 28 to 507 of the family's 1533-position model. The record is from RNAcentral.